Molecule: ribosomal RNA, 520 nt
Filed under: uncultured Archaeospora
Lineage: Eukaryota; Fungi; Glomeromycota; Glomeromycetes; Archaeosporales; Archaeosporaceae
Description: SSU rRNA
Rfam family: Eukaryotic small subunit ribosomal RNA
Source: RNAcentral
AGCAGCCGCGGUAAUUCCAGCUCCAAUAGCGUAUAUUAAAGUUGUUGCAGUUAAAAAGCUCGUAGUUGAAUUUUAGGCCUGGCCGGGCGGUCCGUCUUUGGCGAGUACUGUUCUGUGUCGGGUCUUACCUUCUGGUGAACCGGCAUGUUCUUUAUUGAGUGUACCGGGGAGCCAGGACCAUUACCUUGAAAAAUUAGAGUGUUUAAAGCAGGCAUUUGCUUGAAUAGAUUAGCAUGGAAUAAUAGAAUAGGACGUUGGUUCUAUUUUGUUGGUCUAGGACCACCGUAAUGAUUAAUAGGGAUAGUUGGGGGCAUUAGUAUUCAAUUGUCAGAGGUGAAAUUCUUGGAUUUAUUGAAGACUAACUAUUGCGAAAGCAUUUGCCAAGGAUGUUUUCAUUAAUCAAGAACGAAAGUUAGGGGAUCGAAGACGAUCAGAUACCGUCGUAGUCUUAACCAUAAACUAUGCCGACUAGGAAUCGGGCGACGUUAUUUUCAUGACUCGCUCGGCGCCUUAUGGGAAA